GCCGCUAUGGUGAAAUUUGGUAAACACGCUGCUCUUAGGAAGCAGUGCUACAGCAUCUCGGUUCGAGCCCGAGUAGCGGCA
Molecule: transfer RNA, 81 nt
Filed under: Loranthus europaeus
Lineage: Eukaryota; Viridiplantae; Streptophyta; Magnoliopsida; Santalales; Loranthaceae
Also listed under: 8 other names
Description: tRNA-Leu
Rfam family: tRNA
About the family: Transfer RNA (tRNA) molecules are approximately 80 nucleotides in length.
Source: RNAcentral